Molecule: unclassified non-coding RNA, 413 nt
Filed under: Hevea brasiliensis (rubber tree)
Lineage: Eukaryota; Viridiplantae; Streptophyta; Magnoliopsida; Malpighiales; Euphorbiaceae
Source: RNAcentral
GAAAAGCGCAAAAAGGUUGCAACAUGGAAUCAAACAAUAUAAUCAAAUUGCAUUUAAAAAAAAAAUUCACAUCUUAGAAGUUUCUCUCGUAGAAGUUCACGCAGGAAGUCUUUUUCUUUUCCUGCAAAUUCGUAAUCACUUAUCAUGUAAAAACCAAACAACUUCUCUGCCAAGUUCUCUGCCAAGUUUGUUUAAUAAAAUCUCACUUUCCCAAUUUGCUUGGUAACCCUUAUAACCAUGGAAAGGCAAACUAGCACGUGAAGUAUCACGCUCAACCACAACAAACACAGCAUCAAAAUCAAACUGCAAUAACCAUAACAUUCUAUGUGAAUAAUGACAAGAUCCUUUCUCUUGAGGAAAGUCACAAUCUUACAAGAUAAUGUAAUCACUCUUCCUUGCCAAAAAUAAUGUUU